ACUCGAGUGGCGAACGGGUGAGUAACACGUGGGUGAUCUGCCCUGCACUUCGGGAUAAGCCUGGGAAACUGGGUCUAAUACCGGAUAGGACGAUGGUUUGGAUGCCAUUGUGGGAAGUUUUCGGUGUGGGAUGAGCUCGCGGCCUAUCAGCUUGUUGGUGGGGUAAUGGCCUACCAAGGCGUCGACGGGUAGCCGGCCUGAGAGGGUGUACGGCCACAUUGGGACUGAGAUACGGCCCAG
Molecule: ribosomal RNA, 240 nt
Filed under: uncultured Actinomycetales bacterium
Lineage: Bacteria; Bacillati; Actinomycetota; Actinomycetes; Actinomycetales
Description: partial 16S ribosomal RNA
Rfam family: Bacterial small subunit ribosomal RNA
Source: RNAcentral